Molecule: ribosomal RNA, 402 nt
Filed under: Bacteroidota bacterium
Lineage: Bacteria; Pseudomonadati; Bacteroidota
Description: Bacteroidetes bacterium partial 16S ribosomal RNA
Rfam family: Bacterial small subunit ribosomal RNA
Source: RNAcentral
UGGGGAAUUUUGCACAAUGGUGGAAACCCUGAUGCAGCGACGCCGCGUGAUUUAGAAGGCCUUCGGGUUGUAAAAAUCUUUUCUAUGGGAAGAAAAUGACAGUACCAUAGGAAUAAGGACCGGCUAAUUACGUGCCAGCAGCCGCGGUAAUACGUAAGGUCCGAGCGUUUUCCGGAAUCAUUGGGCGUAAAGGGUACGUAGGCGGGUAAGCAAGUUAGAAGUGAAAUCCUGUAGCUCAACUACAGUAAGCUUUUAAAACUGCUCAUCUUGAGAUAUUGAAGCGAAAGUGGAAUUCCUAGUGUAACGGUGAAAUGCGCCGAUAUUAGGAGGAAAACCGGUGGCGAAGGCGACUUACUGGCCAAAAACUGACGCUGAGGUACGAAAGCGUGGGUAGCAAACAGG